RNAcentral lists this ribosomal RNA (136 nucleotides) under Eubacterium sp. RNAcentral describes it as "partial 16S ribosomal RNA". It matches the Rfam family "Bacterial small subunit ribosomal RNA", at positions 1 to 115 of the family's 1533-position model. The record is from RNAcentral. Lineage: Bacteria; Bacillati; Bacillota; Clostridia; Eubacteriales; Eubacteriaceae.
UUUUUAUGAGAGUUUGAUCCUGGCUCAGGAUGAACGCUGGCGGCGUGCUUAACACAUGCAAGUCGAACGAAGCAUUUGCGACAGAUUUCUUCGGAUUGAAGUUGCUUAUGACUGAGUGGCGGACGGGUGAGUAACG